RNAcentral lists this ribosomal RNA (326 nucleotides) under uncultured Anaerovorax sp. Its description in RNAcentral is "bacterial SSU rRNA". It matches the Rfam family "Bacterial small subunit ribosomal RNA", at positions 355 to 698 of the family's 1533-position model. Lineage: Bacteria; Bacillati; Bacillota; Clostridia; Peptostreptococcales; Anaerovoracaceae. The record is from RNAcentral.
UGGGGAAUAUUGCACAAUGGGCGAAAGCCUGAUGCAGCAACGCCGCGUGAGCGAAGAAGGUCCUCGGAUUGUAAAGCUCUGUCCUUGGGGAAGAUAAUGACGGUACCCUUGGAGGAAGCCCCGGCUAACUACGUGCCAGCAGCCGCGGUAAUACGUAGGGGGCAAGCGUUAUCCGGAAUUAUUGGGCGUAAAGAGUGCGUAGGUGGUUACCUAAGCAGGGGGGUGAAAGGCACUGGCUUAACCAAUGUCAGCCCCCUGAACUGGGCUACUUGAGUGCAGGAGAGGAAAGCGGAAUUCCCAGUGUAGCGGUGAAAUGCGUAGAGAUU